GCUUUACACAUGCAAGUCGAACGGUAACAGGGUGCUUGCACCGCUGACGAGUGGCGAACGGGUGAGUAAUGCGUCGGAACGUGCCGAGUAGUGGGGGAUAACGCAGCGAAAGUUGUGCUAAUACCGCAUACGUACUGAGGUAGAAAGUGGGGGACCUUCGGGCCUCACGCUAUUCGAGCGGCCGACGUCUGAUUAGCUAGUAGGUGAGGUAAAGGCUCACCUAGGCGACGAUCAGUAGCGGGUCUGAGAGGAUGAUCCGCCACACUGGGACUGAGACACGGCCCAGACUCCUACGGGAGGCAGCAGUGGGGAAUUUUGGACAAUGGGCGAAAGCCUGAUCCAGCCAUGCCGCGUGUCUGAAGAAGGCCUUCGGGUUGUAAAGGACUUUUGUCAGGGAGGAAAUCCCUAGUGCUAAUAACACUGGGGGAUGACAGUACCUGAAGAAUAAGCACCGGCUAACUACGUGCCAGCAGCCGCGGUAAUACGUAGGGUGCGAGCGUUAAUCGGAAUUACUGGGCGUAAAGCGUGCGCAGGCGGUUUGAUAAGCCAGAUGUGAAAUCCCCGAGCUCAACUUGGGAACUG
Molecule: ribosomal RNA, 582 nt
Filed under: Bacillus velezensis
Lineage: Bacteria; Bacillati; Bacillota; Bacilli; Caryophanales; Bacillaceae
Description: bacterial SSU rRNA
Rfam family: Bacterial small subunit ribosomal RNA
Source: RNAcentral